RNAcentral lists this ribosomal RNA (487 nucleotides) under uncultured bacterium. RNAcentral describes it as "SSU rRNA". It matches the Rfam family "Bacterial small subunit ribosomal RNA", at positions 26 to 518 of the family's 1533-position model. The record is from RNAcentral.
AGGACGAACGCUGGCGGCGCGCUUAACGCAUGCAAGUCGAACGAGCUCCAACCAGUGGCAACACUGGGGAAGAGCGAGUGGCGAACGGGUGAGUAACACGUGAGAAACCCACCCUGGAGACCGGGAUAAACCCUCCGAAAGGAGAGCUAAUACCGGAUACCCUCAUCGGAUCGCAUGAUCUGAUGAGGAAAUGGAUUCCGCUCCAGGACGGUCUCGCGGGCUAUCAGCUAGUUGGUGGGGUAACGGCCCACCAAGGCGACGACGGCUAGCUGGUCUGAGAGGACGAUCAGCCACACUGGGACUGAGACACGGCCCAGACUCCUACGGGAGGCAGCAGUGGGGAAUUUUCCGCAAUGGGCGAAAGCCUGACGGAGCAAGACCGCGUGGGGGAAGAAGGCUCGUUGGGUUGUAAACCCCUUUUUCUCAGGGAAGAAGAACUGACGGUACCUGAGGAAUAAGCAUCGGCUAACUCCGUGCCAGCAGCCGC